AUUAAACCCUAUUUUGCAGGCAGAUGAGGCCUGUGGGGUAGGUCUGCCAGUCCCUUAACUAGCCUUAACUCUACCCAGACCCACUCAGUGCACACACAUGUAUGUCUUCCAGGAUUAUGCCAGUGAAGGCCUUCGCACCCUAAUGGUAGCCUACCGAGAGUUGGAUGAAGCAUUCUUCCAGGACUGGAGCAGAAGGCACAGUGAAGCCUGCUUGUCUUUGGAGAACCGGGAAAGCAGAUUAUCAAAUGUCUAUGAAGAAGUUGAAAAAGACUUGAUGCUGUUAGGGGCCACAGCCAUAGAAGACAAGCUACAAGAUGGAGUACCUGAGACAAUCAUCACCCUGAACAAAGCCAAAAUUAAACUAUGGGUUUUAACUGGAGAUAAGCAAGAGACUGCUGUGAAUGUUGCCUACUCCUGUAAGAUAUUUGACGAUGAAAUGGAUGAAGUGUUCAUUGUGGAAGGCAGGGAUGAUGAGACUGUUUGGAAAGAACUCAGGUAUAGAUGGGAGAUUGGCCAUAGCCAAUCUGGACCCAAAAGUUCCUAUUCAUCUCUUCCCCUAGUGUGGGUCCCACACCACCAGAAGGAACAGAGAAGACAUGGAGGUGGGAAAAACAAAAACCUAAAAUAUUUGAAAAAUUUUUGUGAGAAGCAUUUGGGCUAAAUAGGGCUGGAGUGUGGGGAUGGAGAAGUGCAGCAUGUGAAUGGUCAGGGACCUAUGGCAGUGGCAGGUCUUGAAAGGCUGUCACGUCUGAGGUCUUCGCUGGUGCUUUGUAGAGUUCCUCUAGCCACUUUGCCCACUUUCAUCUGGGGACACAUUUUCC
This 821-nucleotide long non-coding RNA is filed under the name Cebus imitator (Panamanian white-faced capuchin). RNAcentral's name for it is "lncRNA (ENSCCAG00000038267.1)". The record is from RNAcentral. Lineage: Eukaryota; Metazoa; Chordata; Mammalia; Primates; Cebidae.